UCCAGACUCCUACGGGAGGCAGCAGUGGGGAAUAUUGCACAAUGGGGGGAACCCUGAUGCAGCGACGCCGCGUGGGUGAAGGAGCACCUCGGUGCGUAAAGCCCUAUCGGCAGGGAAGAAAAGGGAACAGGUUCGCCUGGACGGUACCUGACUAAGAAGCCCCGGCUAACUACGUGCCAGCAGCCGCGGGAAUACGCAGGGGGCAAGCGGUAUCCGGAUUUACUGGGUGUAAAGGGGGCGCAGACGGCGAGGCAAGCCAAGAGUGAAAGCGCGGGGCCCAACCCCGGGACUGCUCUUGGAACUGCGUGGCUGGGGUGCAGGAGGGGCAGGCGGAAUUCCUGGUGUAGCGGUGAAAUGCGUAGAUAUCAGGAGGAACACCGGUGGCGAAGGCGGCCUGCUGGACUGCAACUGACGUUGAGGCCCGAAAGCGUGGGGAGCAAACAGGAUUAGAUACCCGAGUA
This 461-nucleotide ribosomal RNA is filed under the name uncultured bacterium. RNAcentral's name for it is "bacterial SSU rRNA". It matches the Rfam family "Bacterial small subunit ribosomal RNA", at positions 330 to 792 of the family's 1533-position model. The record is from RNAcentral.